GACGAACGCUGGCGGCGCGCCUAACACAUGCAAGUCGAACGAGCGAGAGAGAGCUUGCUUUCUCGAGCGAGUGGCGAACGGGUGAGUAACGCGUGAGGAACCUGCCUCAAAGAGGGGGACAACAGUUGGAAACGACUGCUAAUACCGCAUAAGCCCACAGCUCGGCAUCGAGCAGAGGGAAAAGGAGCAAUCCGCUUUGAGAUGGCCUCGCGUCCGAUUAGCUAGUUGGUGAGGUAACGGCCCACCAAGGCGACGAUCGGUAGCCGGACUGAGAGGUUGAACGGCCACAUUGGGACUGAGACACGGCCCAGACUCCUACGGGAGGCAGCAGUGGGGAAUAUUGCACAAUGGGGGAAACCCUGAUGCAGCGACGCCGCGUGGAGGAAGAAGGUCUUCGGAUUGUAAACUCCUGUUGUUGAGGAAGAUAAUGACGGUACUCAACAAGGAAGUGACGGCUAACUACGUGCCAGCAGCCGCGGUAAAACGUAGGUCACAAGCGUUGUCCGGAAUUACUGGGUGUAAAGGGAGCGCAGGCGGGAAGGCAAGUUGGAAGUGAAAUCCAUGGGCUCAACCCAUGAACUGCUUUCAAAACUGUUUUUCUUGAGUAGUGCAGAGGUAGGCGGAAUUCCCGGUGUAGCGGUGGAAUGCGUAGAUAUCGGGAGGAACACCAGUGGCGAAGGCGGCCUACUGGGCACCAACUGACGCUGAGGCUCGAAAGUGUGGGUAGCAAACAGGAUUAGAUACCCUGGUAGUCCACACUGUAAACGAUGAUUACUAGGUGUUGGAGGAUUGACCCCUUCAGUGCCGCAGUUAACACAAUAAGUAAUCCACCUGGGGAGUACGACCGCAAGGUUGAAACUCAAAGGAAUUGACGGGGGCCCGCACAAGCAGUGGAGUAUGUGGUUUAAUUUGAAGCAACGCGAAGAACCUUACCAGGUCUUGACAUCCAACUAACGAAGUAGAGAUACAUUAGGUGCCCUUCGGGGAAAGUUGAGACAGGUGGUGCAUGGUUGUCGUCAGCUCGUGUCGUGAGAUGUUGGGUUAAGUCCCGCAACGAGCGCAACCCUUGCUAUUAGUUGCUACGCAAGAGCACUCUAAUAGGACUGCCGUUGACAAAACGGAGGAAGGUGGGGAGGACGUCAAAUCAUCAUGCCCCUUAUGACCUGGGCUACACACGUACUACAAUGGAUGUUAACAGAGGGAAGCAAGACAGCGAUGUGGAGCAAACCCCUAAAAACAUUCUCAGUUCAGAUUGCAGGCUGCAACCCGCCUGCAUGAAGAUGGAAUUGCUAGUAAUCGCGGAUCAGCAUGCCGCGGUGAAUACGUUCCCGGGCCUUGCACA
This 1342-nucleotide ribosomal RNA is filed under the name uncultured bacterium. Its description in RNAcentral is "bacterial SSU rRNA". It matches the Rfam family "Bacterial small subunit ribosomal RNA", at positions 28 to 1387 of the family's 1533-position model. The record is from RNAcentral.